GCCGAACGCUGGCGGCGUGCUUAACACAUGCAAGUCGAACGGAAAGGCCUCUUUCGGGGGGUACUCGAGUGGCGAACGGGUGAGUAACACGUGAGUAACCUGCCCUUGACUUUGGGAUAACUUCAGGAAACUGGGGCUAAUACCGGAUAGGAGCUCCUGCUGCAUGGUGGGGGUUGGAAAGUUUCGGCGGUUGGGGAUGGACUCGCGGCUUAUCAGCUUGUUGGUGGGGUAGUGGCUUACCAAGGCUUUGACGGGUAGCCGGCCUGAGAGGGUGACCGGCCACAUUGGGACUGAGAUACGGCCCAGACUCCUACGGGAGGCAGCAGUGGGGAAUAUUGCACAAUGGGUGGAAGCCUGAUGCAGCAACGCCGUGUGCGGGAUGACGGCCUUCGGGUUGUAAACCGCUUUCGCUCAUGACGAAGCUUUGUGUGACGGUAGUGGGUAAAGAAGCACCGGCUAACUACGUG
This 467-nucleotide ribosomal RNA is filed under the name uncultured bacterium. RNAcentral's name for it is "partial 16S ribosomal RNA". It matches the Rfam family "Bacterial small subunit ribosomal RNA", at positions 28 to 507 of the family's 1533-position model. The record is from RNAcentral.